Molecule: ribosomal RNA, 315 nt
Filed under: uncultured Mortierella
Lineage: Eukaryota; Fungi; Mortierellomycota; Mortierellomycetes; Mortierellales; Mortierellaceae
Description: partial large subunit ribosomal RNA
Rfam family: Eukaryotic large subunit ribosomal RNA
Source: RNAcentral
AUAUCAAUAAGCGGAGGAAAAGAAACUAACAAGGAUUCCCCUAGUAACGGCGAGUGAAGCGGGAUGAGCUCAAAUUUAAAAUCUGGCUGGUUUACUAGUCCGAAUUGUAGUUUAUAGAAGCGUUUUCGGUGGCAGCCUGGGUAUAAAUCCUUUGGAAUAGGGUAUCAUAGAGGGUGAGAAUCCCGUCUUUGACUCAGUGCAUGCUACUAUGUGAUACGUUUUCAAAGAGUCGAGUUGUUUGGGAAUGCAGCUCAAAAUGGGUGGUAAAUUUCAUCUAAGGCUAAAUAUUGGCGAGAGACCGAUAGCGCACAAGUA